RNAcentral lists this ribosomal RNA (443 nucleotides) under uncultured bacterium. RNAcentral describes it as "partial 16S ribosomal RNA". It matches the Rfam family "Bacterial small subunit ribosomal RNA", at positions 338 to 795 of the family's 1533-position model. The record is from RNAcentral.
CCUACGGGAGGCAGCAGUGGGGGAUAUUGGACAAUGGGGGGAACCCUGAUCCAGCGACGCCGCGUGAGUGAAGAAGGAUUUCGGGAUGUAAAGCUCUGUCAGCAGGGAAGAAAGAAAUGACGGUACCUGACCUAGAAGCCCCGGCUAACCACGGGCAAGCGGCCGCGGGAAGACGUAGGGGGCAAGCGUGAUCUGGAAUUAAUGGGUGUAAAGGGAGCGUAGACGGUUAAGUAAGUCUGGAGGGAAAGGCCGGGGCCCAACCCCGGGACUGCCCUGGAUACUGUUGAGCUUGAGUGCAGGAGAGGUAGGCGGAAUUCCUAGUGUAGCGGUGAAAUGCGUAGAUAUUAGGAGGAACACCAGUGGCGAAGGCGGCUUACUGGACUGUAACUGACGUUGAGGCGCGAAAGCGUGGGGAGCAAACAGGAUUAGAUACCCCUGUAGUC